AAUGAACGUUGGCGGCGUGCCUAACACAUGCAAGUCGAGCGAGAAAGUUCCUUCGGGAAUGAGUAGAGCGGCGGACGGGUGAGUAAUGCGUGAGAAUCUGCCUUUUAGUGAGGAAUACCUUCGGGAAACUGAAGUUAAUACCGCAUAAGUCCCUUCGGGGAGAAAGAUGGCCUCUAGCUGUCGCUAAAAGAUGAGCUUACGUUCUAUUAGUUUGUUGGUGAGGUAAAGGCUCACCAAGACGAUGAUGGAUAGCCGGCCUGAGAGGGUGAACGGCCACAUUGGAACUUAGACACGGUCCAGACUCCUACGGGAGCAGCAGUGAGGAAUAUUGCACAAUGGGCAAAGCCUGAUGCAGCGACGCCGCGUGGAGGAUGAAGGUUUUCGGAUCGUAAACUCCUGUUAAGUGGGAAAAAGUAUCGUUUCUGAAUAAGAACGAGAGAUGAUGGUACCACUAGAGAAAGCACCGGCUAACUC
RNAcentral lists this ribosomal RNA (474 nucleotides) under uncultured bacterium. RNAcentral describes it as "bacterial SSU rRNA". It matches the Rfam family "Bacterial small subunit ribosomal RNA", at positions 29 to 503 of the family's 1533-position model. The record is from RNAcentral.